RNAcentral lists this unclassified non-coding RNA (332 nucleotides) under soil metagenome. Its description in RNAcentral is "partial contains 5.8S ribosomal RNA, internal transcribed spacer 2, and large subunit ribosomal RNA". The stretch from base 1 to 120 matches the Rfam family "5.8S ribosomal RNA", at positions 35 to 154 of the family's 154-position model. The record is from RNAcentral.
GAUGAAGAACGCAGCAAAAUGCGAUAAGUAAUGUGAAUUGCAGAAUUCAGUGAAUCAUCGAAUCUUUGAACGCACAUUGCGCCCGCCAGUAUUCUGGCGGGCAUGCCUGUUCGAGCGUCAUUUCAACCCUCAAGCACAGCUUGGUGUUGGGACUCGCGUUAAUUCGCGUUCCUCAAAUUGAUCGGCGGUCACGUCGAGCUUCCAUAGCGUAGUAGUAAAACCCUCGUUACUGGUAAUCGUCGCGGCCACGCCGUUAAACCCCAACUUCUGAAUGUUGACCUCGGAUCAGGUAGGAAUACCCGCUGAACUUAAGCAUAUCAAUAAGCGGAGGA